This 235-nucleotide unclassified non-coding RNA is filed under the name Misophriidae sp. HT-2017. Its description in RNAcentral is "ITS2". Lineage: Eukaryota; Metazoa; Arthropoda; Copepoda; Misophrioida; Misophriidae. The record is from RNAcentral.
CUCCUCCGUGUGCAUGCAAGUGCGUGCGGAGGCACUGCGCCGCUGUGCGAGAGACCCCUCUUGCGCACGGCGUCAAGAUCUUGCAAAUGCAUGCGCCGCGGCUCGGCUCACGCAUGGACUCUACGAUCUCUGCAUCUGGGUCUGUGCACGGGCAUGCGGUGCUUGUGCGAGCAAGUGUGCAUGUGCGGUUGGCGCUGGAAAGCGCGCUGCACGCACAAUUCUCAUAUCUCGACCU